UGGGGAAUAUUGCACAAUGGAGGGAACUCUGAUGCAGCGACGCCGCGUGAACGAAGAAGGCUUUCGAGCCGUAAAGUUCUUUUAUAUGGGAAGAUAAUGACGGUACCAUAGAAGAAAGCCCCGUCUAAUUACGUGCCAGCAGCCGCGGUAAUACGUAAGGGGCGAGCGUUGUCCGGAAUUAUUGGGCGUAACGAGUGCGUAGGCGGCAAAUUAAGUCAGAUGUGAAAACUAAGGGCUCAACCCAUAGAUUGCAUCUGAAACUGAUAUGCUUGAGUCAAGGGGAGGAAAGUGGACUUCCUAGUGUAGCGGUGGAAUGCGUAGAUAUUAGAAGGAAUACCGGUGGAGAAGGCGACUUUCUAAACUUGAACUGACGCUGAGGCACGACAGCGUGGGGAGCAAACAGG
This 404-nucleotide ribosomal RNA is filed under the name Verrucomicrobiota bacterium. Its description in RNAcentral is "Verrucomicrobia bacterium partial 16S ribosomal RNA". It matches the Rfam family "Bacterial small subunit ribosomal RNA", at positions 355 to 776 of the family's 1533-position model. Lineage: Bacteria; Pseudomonadati; Verrucomicrobiota. The record is from RNAcentral.